Molecule: long non-coding RNA, 682 nt
Organism: Contarinia nasturtii (swede midge)
Lineage: Eukaryota; Metazoa; Arthropoda; Insecta; Diptera; Cecidomyiidae
Exons: 2
Source: RefSeq, a predicted model, not a curated record
AUCCGAACAAUUCAUUUUCUACGAACGAACGAACGAACAAAAAGACCAAAAAAAUAUUCUACGAACGAACGAACGAACGUUCGUGGACAGCUAUGCAGCAACGGCUCGAUUUGGAGUUAGAAUGGUCACGACACUCAAGCACAUUUACAAUGAAAAUGGUAUUGUCUCAUUUUCUACAUACGAGGUACUCAAAAAAGCACUAAAUCUUGACACCGGCAUGAAAAUUUAAUUACAGGCGGUCUUUUUUCCGGAAAACGCACACAUGACAACAAAGUUCAUGCAAUAGUUUAAAAAAAAUAUCAUAAGUGUUAAAAAAAUCAAUUAUUUUUUUCUUUUAAUUUGUUUACCUGUUUUAUUGGAAUUAUUAUUUUUGUAAUGUUGAAAAUGUAUGACAAUGGCAAUUUGUCAAAAUGAAUCAAUUGCAUCACAUUAAUUAAGCAAAGGCUAAGACAGUAGGUAGUAUUUGCUUUCAGUGGCAUAAAAUAACUUAAAUACCUUGGUCAAAUGUAAUUAAAUCUCCCAAUACGUUAGUCAUUGGAUUUUCCACAAAUCAACAGCCAAUGGUCAUCAUGAUAUUAGUUAACCAAUAUUGUUGAAUUGUUCUUGUGUCUGGGCGUAUUAUUUAAAACAAAAUAAGCGUGUAUUGUUACAUUGUUAAAAUAUAUUGAUUUUUUACAACUUU